CUUUGUCAGUCAUUUCAUCACGCUGCCCACUAUUUAUGACAUCUUAUUUCUAAAUGCUUUCUCUUUCUAAAAUCGUUUCAAUUACCUACUUUGAUUUAGUUUAGUGCUUUAUUAUCUUACACCUUUUUAAAUACCAAUAUGGUUGAGCGCCUAACCAGCUAAAAAGAACACGCAGCGUUAAUAGUGAUAUUUAUUGUAAUCACCUUGGAGAAAAUUCGCUGGUACGUUGGUCAGAGAUCCUUUGAAAUUUAUUCCACUCUGAUUGGUGCAUUAAUUUGCGAUACGUACGAACCAGAGGAGAACCGUAUCGACAGUCGAUGGCCAGCCGGCUUCGGUGAAAAAACAACGCCUCUGCGAAAAGAAAAAAAGACAGACGGAUGCAAAACGGAAGAAUCGGUCGGUCGGUAGUCUGUUACCGAAAGGAACGAAAAUACAAGUUGAAGAAAAGGGAGGUAUGCAUUAAGCGAAGAAAAGUUUAUCUUCCCAAUUUUCUUUUAUCGAUCUGUUCCGAUAUUAAAACAAAAUGAAAAUAUGGAUGGAUCGCCUUCUCCUCUUCCUCUUUUCGGAGAAUUCAAUGAUAUCGUGGAAAAAGUAAAAUGUAAAACAAAGUAGCGAAACUUCUGGAUAAUGUAUGUAAUGUACGAAUAUACGUUCAUUAAUAAAUAGAUAACAAAUAUCUUUCUCCUCUUA
Molecule: long non-coding RNA, 690 nt
Organism: Bombus pyrosoma
Lineage: Eukaryota; Metazoa; Arthropoda; Insecta; Hymenoptera; Apidae
Exons: 2
Source: RefSeq, a predicted model, not a curated record